This 497-nucleotide ribosomal RNA is filed under the name uncultured bacterium. Its description in RNAcentral is "partial 16S ribosomal RNA". It matches the Rfam family "Bacterial small subunit ribosomal RNA", at positions 36 to 507 of the family's 1533-position model. The record is from RNAcentral.
UCCUCCCUCUGUCGGCGUGCCUAAUACAUGCAAGUUGAGCGCUGAAGGUUGGUACUUGUACCAACUGGAUGAGCAGCGAACGGGUGAGUAACGCGUGGGGAAUCUGCCUUUGAGCGGGGGACAACAUUUGGAAACGAAUGCUAAUACCGCAUAAAAACUUUAAACACAAGUUUUAAGUUUGAAAGAUGCAAUUGCAUCACUCAAAGAUGAUCCCGCGUUGUAUUAGCUAGUUGGUGAGGUAAAGGCUCACCAAGGCGAUGAUACAUAGCCGACCUGGGAGGGUGAUCGGCCACAUUGGGACUGAGACACGGCCCAAACUCCUACGGGAGGCAGCAGUAGGGAAUCUUCGGCAGUGGACGAAAGUCUGACCGAGCAACGCCGCGUGAGUGAAGAAGGUUUUCGGAUCGUAAAACUCUGUUGGUAGAGAAGAACGUUGGUGAGAGUGGAAAGCUCAUCAAGUGACGGUAACUACCCAGAAAGGGACGGCUAACUACGUG